This 1941-nucleotide long non-coding RNA is filed under the name Olea europaea (common olive). RNAcentral describes it as "long non-coding RNA (OEUR_LNC012387)". The record is from RNAcentral. Lineage: Eukaryota; Viridiplantae; Streptophyta; Magnoliopsida; Lamiales; Oleaceae.
GCCACUACUGUUUCGCCGACACACGGUCCUCACCACCUCCAUCUUGCAUAACCUUGUUGAAGAAAAAAUUAACCUUAAUCUAUUUACCCCGAAAAUAGAGACGGGUUUUGAAAACUUAAAAAGACAAAUGAACACAUUUGUCACCCAUUUUCUCCCAAAAUCGUACCCUGAAAAGCUAUUACCGUUUCAUCGACACACGGUCCUCACCACCUCCAGCCUGCAUCACCUCGUUGAAGAAAAAAUCAAACUUAAUCUAUUUACCCCGAAAAUAGAGACCGGGUUUUGAAAACUUAAAAAAAAAAAUGAACACAUUUGUCACCCAUUUUCUCCCAAAAUCGUACCCUGAAAAGCUAUUACCGUUUCAUCGACACACGGUCCUCACCACCUCCAGCCUGCAUCACCUCGUUGAAGAAAAAAUCAAACUUAAUCUAUUUACCCCGAAAAUAGAGACCGGGUUUUGAAAACUUAAAUAGAAAAAUGAACACAUUUGUCACCCAUUUUCUCCCAAAAUCGUACCCUGAAAAGCUAUUACCGUUUCAUCGACACACGGUCCUCACCACCUCCAGCCUGCAUCACCUCGUUGAAGAAAAAAUCAAACUUAAUCUAUUUACCCCGAAAAUAGAGACCGGGUUUUGAAAACUUAAAAAGACAAAUGAACACAUUUGUCACCCAUUUUCUCCCAAAAUUGUACCCUGGAAAGCCACUGUCGUUUCGCUGACACACAAUCCUCACCACCUCUGGCCUGCAUCACCCCGUUGAAGAAGAAAUCAACCUCAAUUUAUUUACCCCUAAAACAAAGACCGGGUUUUGAAAACACCUCCGUCACAAAUUAAUUCGAAUUUGUAGAUCGAUAAAAAGAUGUGAGCUGCAAACUUCCAGCAACCAUGAAGUCUACACCAAAAUCGUCAUCUGCCUAUGAACACAUCAUUUAUAUGCAUCGCUUGAGAGUAAGCAAUUGUUGUGGUUGUUGAUAUGUUUUUGUAAGGGUUUUAUAUUUGUGUUCAACGAAAUGAAUUCUUCGUCUCCGUCAAUGACAUUUUUUGAUUUUGACAUGGAUUUGUUUUGGUUAUCAUGCCUUUGAUUUUGUAAGGGUUUUACGGUUGCUACUAUUUUCGAUGUAUUGUAUACAAGUCACCAAUUUGAGCUUUAUAUUUGGAGAUUAAAAAUAUUGGUGAGAAUUAUAUUCUCAUUUUUGGGGUUUUCCCUACAAGAAUCUAAUUUAGCCAUAUUUUGCUUUGUCUUUUUGGGGUUUUCCUUGCUGGCAUCUAAAAAUUAGUGAGAAUUAUACCAAUUUGAGCUUGUAUUUUGCUUGUUCGUUUAAUUCGUGCCACAAUAGGAAAAAUUUUGACAUUAUUUUUAUGGUUUAAUUAUAUGUUAGAAUGGUUGGAAGAAUUCUGAAAUUUACCAUAGUUGUAGAGGCAAAAGGCACUUUUUUUUUUUUUUUAAAUCUAAUGCCCGUUUUGUAAGAAUGGAUUUUAGAAGUGCUUUGAGGUCGAAAAGCUGACUGCUAAUAAAGGGACAUUAAUCACAUGUUGCAGUAAUAAAUGCGGCUAUUUGGAUUGGGUUGUAGAAGGAUAGUCAAGCGGUGAAUCCAAUAACGCUGGCUCUACCUUGGUUACACUUGUGACCAAAGAAGCAGUUGAAGAUAUGUUCCACAUGUUCAAAUCUCAGGUUCGACUAACUGAAGAAGCAGACAUCGAGAUAUCUGUGAAUGUGAAGAUCUUUAGGGAAACAGGCAGUGCAGAAGGGAUUGCAAAAGGAAAGGGAUCGGUUUGUUUUGUAGUUAAUUCGUUGAAAGUGUUAUAUGCUAACUUAUCUAAAGGUUUUAGUUAUCUCCCUUUCCCUUUUUUUUUUGGGGGGUAUCAACGAAGUAUGUAGUUGGGAGUGGAUUAUGGAUAAAAACAAUGUCACUUUUAUCAUUUUCUUAUGCUAAUGUCANNN